CCCUUAGAUGUUCUGGGCCGCACGCGCGCUACACUGACAGAGCCAGCGAGUUUUUUCCUUGGCCGGAAGGUCUGGGUAAUCUUGUGAAACUCUGUCGUGCUGGGGAUAGAGCAUUGCAAUUAUUGCUCUUCAACGAGGAAUACCUAGUAAGCGUGAGUCAUCAGCUCGCGUUGAUUACGUCCCUGCCCUUUGUACACACCGCCCGUCGCUACUACCGAUUGAAUGGCUUAGUGAGGUCUUGGGAUUGGCUUCGAGGAACCGGCAACGGUACCUUGUUGCUGAGAACUUGAUCAAACUUGGUCAUUUAGAGGAAGUAAAAGUCGUAACA
RNAcentral lists this ribosomal RNA (328 nucleotides) under uncultured eukaryote. Its description in RNAcentral is "partial 18S ribosomal RNA". It matches the Rfam family "Eukaryotic small subunit ribosomal RNA", at positions 1470 to 1796 of the family's 1831-position model. The record is from RNAcentral.